GACGAACGCUGGCGGCGUGCUUAACACAUGCAAGUCGAGCGGUAAGGCCCUUUCGGGGGUACACGAGCGGCGAACGGGUGAGUAACACGUGGGUGACCUGCCCUUAGCUCUGGGAUAAGCCUGGGAAACUGGGUCUAAUACCGGAUAUGACUCCAUAACGCAUGUUGUGGGGUGGAAAGCCUUGUGCGGCUAGGGAUGGGCCCGCGGCCUAUCAGCUUGUUGGUGGGGUGAUGGCCUACCAAGGCGACGACGGGUAGCCGGCCUGAGAGGGCGACCGGCCACACUGGGACUGAGACACGGCCCAGACUCCUACGGGAGGCAGCAGUGGGGAAUCUUGCGCAAUGGGCGAAAGCCUGACGCAGCGACGCCGCGUGGGGGAUGACGGCCUC
Molecule: ribosomal RNA, 389 nt
Filed under: uncultured bacterium
Lineage: Bacteria
Description: bacterial SSU rRNA
Rfam family: Bacterial small subunit ribosomal RNA
Source: RNAcentral